This 65-nucleotide transfer RNA is filed under the name Dipodomys ordii (Ord's kangaroo rat). It matches the Rfam family "tRNA". Rfam says of the family: Transfer RNA (tRNA) molecules are approximately 80 nucleotides in length. Their secondary structure includes four short double-helical elements and three loops (D, anti-codon, and T loops). Lineage: Eukaryota; Metazoa; Chordata; Mammalia; Rodentia; Heteromyidae. The record is from Rfam by way of RNAcentral.
GGUGGCUCAGUGGUAGAGUGCUUGCCUUGCAUGCAGGAGGUCCUGGGUUCGAUUCCUUAGCACCA